Sus scrofa (pig) is the source of this 415-nucleotide non-coding RNA. The record is from the annotation of a RefSeq genome assembly. Lineage: Eukaryota; Metazoa; Chordata; Mammalia; Artiodactyla; Suidae.
CUCAGGACCCAGCAUGGACGUGAGGGCCCCCAUGCAGUUCCUCGGGCUCCUGCUGCUCUGGCUCCAAGGUGCCAGGAGUGCCAUCCAGCUGACCCAGUCUCCAGCCUCCCUGGCUGCAUCUCUCGGAGACACAGUAUCCAUCACUUGCCAGGCCAGUCAGAGUGUUAGCAGUAAUUUAGACUGGUAUCAACAACAACCUGGGAAGGCUCAUAAACUCUUAAUCUAUUAUGCAUUUACUUUAUACAGUGGAGUCCCAUCACAGUUCAAGGACAGUGGAUCUGGCACUGAUUUCACCCUCACCAUCAGUGGCCUGCAGGCUGAAGAUGUUGGAACUUAUUACUGUCAGCAGGAAUACAGUGCACUUCCCACAGUGUUACAGGCCAGCAGAAAAAAACCCAGGGGAGCAGAUGCAUGA